Molecule: ribosomal RNA, 487 nt
Filed under: uncultured bacterium
Lineage: Bacteria
Description: bacterial SSU rRNA
Rfam family: Bacterial small subunit ribosomal RNA
Source: RNAcentral
AACGAACGCUGGCGGCGUGUCUUAAGCAUGCAAGUCGUGCGGCAAGGGUAGCAAUACCCCUAGAGCGGCGGACUGGUGAGUAACGCGUGGGUGAUCUACCUUUGGGAUGGGGAUAGCCACUAGAAAUAGCGGGUAAUACCGAAUACGUUCGUCGGGCCUUGGCCUGACGAGGAAAGGCGCUUCGGCGCCACCCGAAGAUGAGCCCGCGUCCCAUUAGCUAGUUGGUGAGGUAAAGGCCCACCAAGGCGAUGAUGGGUAGGCGGCCUGAGAGGGUGUACGCCCACAUUGGGACUGAGAUACGGCCCAAACUCCUACGGGAGGCAGCAGCUAAGAAUAUUCCGCAAUGGACGAAAGUCUGACGGAGCGACGCCGCGUGGAUGAUGAAGGCCGAAAGGUUGUAAAGUCCUUUUGUUGGGGAAGAAUAACCAUGGGAGGUAAUGCCCGUGGGAUGACAUGAACCGACGAAUAAGCCCCGGCUAACUACGUG